CCACGGAAACUCCUGCAGGGUGAGAGCCUCGCCUUAUCGCAUCUUCAUCCAUGGACAAUCCACAAUAAAGACCUGGAACUUGUAGAAGCAACUGGAAGCAAACAAGAGCCAUCACUGUUACACAGGGCAGGUGAAUAGAGAGGAAGAAGGCUACACUAAUGGCAGAUAUUCUUCCAGAGACUCCCUACCUACGAAAUCAAGCAGAGGCAGGCAUAGACAGGCAUACCUGUGCUGGAUUUCUACCUAAAUAACACGAGCAGGAAUGUGUCAGUCCAUAGCAUCACUGUCAUGGAACAGUGAGACAUACCUGUGCCUGCUGAAAGUGUUGCAGAAAGAACCGCUACGGUUUUUAUACUCACAUAAGCCUGGAAGCUGAGAAAUAUAUUUGCAAAUACAAUGGACUUUUUCUUCCAAUAAACCAUUCUUAGUCUUUCAAAGAGCAAUAUAGACUUAAGUAAAAUUCUCUUUAGUAUUUUCAUUAAGUGCUAUUUUGCACCACAAUUCGCACAACAAAUAAUUAAGUCCUAAUAUCAUAAACACAUUAAGUUUUCCCCAUCUCUCUCAUAUAUCUGGAUUUAUGAUUUAGAGUUCUAAAAGGGCAGUAAAUACGUCUGGAACACCUUUUCCCUUUGAGUAGGUCUGUCAGAAUAGAGAAAUAACCUAGUUUGGUAAAAGACAAGAAAGUAAAGCUAUUCAGUCCUUUCUAAUUACACUAGUUGUUUGUAACUACAGACAAUUUUUUCCUAAUCACGGGAAAUGGAAGUUUUACUUUAGUUUCAUUCACAUUCAUAUUUAUUUAUUAUUGCUAUUGUUGUCUUGGUAUAGAAUCCUCAACCCACUCAUUUCUAUUACAGAAAAUUUCCUUAGAACUUUUAUUUACAUACAAAGAAAUAAAAACAGCUUUUGAUCCAACUGCA
Long non-coding RNA from Gymnogyps californianus (California condor), 917 nucleotides. RefSeq lists it as uncharacterized. The record is from RefSeq and is a predicted model, not a curated record. The transcript is spliced from 3 exons. NCBI's taxonomy places the organism in Eukaryota, Metazoa, Chordata, Aves, Accipitriformes, Cathartidae.